This 497-nucleotide ribosomal RNA is filed under the name uncultured bacterium. RNAcentral describes it as "partial 16S ribosomal RNA". It matches the Rfam family "Bacterial small subunit ribosomal RNA", at positions 28 to 507 of the family's 1533-position model. The record is from RNAcentral.
GACGAACGCUGGCGGCGUGCCUAAUACAUGCAAGUUGAGCGCUGAAGGUUGGUACUUGUACCAACUGGAUGAGCAGCGAACGGGUGAGUAACGCGUGGGGAAUCUGCCUUUGAGCGGGGGACAACAUUUGGAAACGAAUGCUAAUACCGCAUAAAAACUUUAAACACAAGUUUUAAGUUUGAAAGAUGCAAUUGCAUCACUCAAAGAUGAUCCCGCGUUGUAUUAGCUAGUUGGUGAGGUAAAGGCUCACCAAGGCGAUGAUACAUAGCCGACCUGAGAGGGUGAUCGGCCACAUUGGGAAUGAGACACGGCCCAAACUCCUACGGGAGGCAGCAGUAGGGAAUCUUCGGAAAUGGACGAAAGUCUGAACGAGCAACGCCGCGGGAGGGAAGAAGGUUUUCGGAUCGGAAAACUCUGUUGGUAGAGAAGAACGUUGGUGAGAGUGGAAAGCUCAUCAAGUGACGGUAACUACCCAGAAAGGGACGGCUAACUACGUG